RNAcentral lists this ribosomal RNA (852 nucleotides) under uncultured Flavobacteriaceae bacterium. RNAcentral describes it as "bacterial SSU rRNA". It matches the Rfam family "Bacterial small subunit ribosomal RNA", at positions 71 to 920 of the family's 1533-position model. Lineage: Bacteria; Pseudomonadati; Bacteroidota; Flavobacteriia; Flavobacteriales; Flavobacteriaceae. The record is from RNAcentral.
GGUCUGUAGCAAUACAGAUGCUGGCGACCGGCAAACGGGUGCGGAACACGUACACAACCUUCCUUUAAGUGGGGGAUAGCCCGGCGAAAGCCGGAUUAAUACCCCGUAACAUAUUGAAUAGGCAUCUAUUUAAUAUUAAAGCUCCGGCGCUUAAUGAUGGGUGUGCGCCUGAUUAGGUAGUUGGCGGGGUAACGGCCCACCAAGCCUACGAUCAGUAACAGGUGUGAGAGCACGACCAGUCACACGGGCACUGAGACACGGGCCCGACUCCUACGGGAGGCAGCAGUAAGGAAUAUUGGUCAAUGGACGCAAGUCUGAACCAGCCAUGCCGCGUGGAGGAUGAAGGUCCUCUGGAUUGUAAACUUCUUUUAUCUGGGACGAAAAAGGGUCUUUCUAGAUCAACUGACGGUACCAGAUGAAUAAGCACCGGCUAACUCCGUGCCAGCAGCCGCGGUAAUACGGAGGGUGCAAGCGUUAUCCGGAUUCACUGGGUUUAAAGGGUGCGUAGGUGGGUCUGUAAGUCAGUGGUGAAAUCUCCGAGCUUAACUUGGAAACUGCCAUUGAUACUAUAGAUCUUGAAUAUUGUGGAGGUCAGCGGAAUAUGUCAUGUAGCGGUGAAAUGCUUAGAUAUGACAUAGAACACCAAUUGCGAAGGCAGCUGGCUACACAUAUAUUGACACUGAGGCACGAAAGCGUGGGGAUCAAACAGGAUUAGAUACCCUGGUAGUCCACGCCCUAAACUAUGGAUACUCGACAUUUGCGAUACACUGCAAGUGUCUGAGCGAAAGCAUUAAGUAUCCCACCUGGGGAAGUACGAUCGCAAGAUUGAAACUCAAAGGAAUUGGCGGGGGU